GCCCUCGUGGAUCAUGGUUGAUCAUCUUCAUACUAUGACGCUGCAAAACAAAUCUCUGAAGACGUCGUAGGUUCGAAUUCUACUGAGGGCA
Molecule: non-coding RNA, 91 nt
Organism: Mycena leptocephala
Lineage: Eukaryota; Fungi; Basidiomycota; Agaricomycetes; Agaricales; Mycenaceae
Source: the annotation of a GenBank genome assembly